GAUCCUGGCUCAGGACGAACGCUGGCGGCGCGCCUAACACAUGCAAGUCGAACGAGAGAUGAGGAGCUUGCUCUUCAAAUCGAGUGGCGAACUGGUGAGUAACGCGUGAGGAACCUGCCUCAAAGGAGGGGGACAACAGUUGGAAACGACUGCUAAUACCGCAUAAGCCCACGGCUCGGCAUCGAGCAGAGGGAAAAGGAGCGAUCCGCUUUGAGAUGGCCUCGCGUCCGA
RNAcentral lists this ribosomal RNA (231 nucleotides) under uncultured bacterium. RNAcentral's name for it is "partial 16S ribosomal RNA". It matches the Rfam family "Bacterial small subunit ribosomal RNA", at positions 15 to 240 of the family's 1533-position model. The record is from RNAcentral.